UGCCAUGGUCUCCCAUAACGACUUUCUCCUGAAAAAGAAAAUCUAUUUUAAUAUCUUGUAUCUUUCAGCGGACGUUUUUUGUCAACAACAGAAGUGAUUACAGGAUUUCCCGGCACUAUCUGGGAGCAGUGAAGGCAGUUGGUACUGGACUGGGCAGGCACUGUUAUCGACUGCGGGGUGUUCUCUCCUGCCGGGGCUUUCAUGGCCAUCUUCGAGGAGGAGGGGGUACCCGUGACCAACGACGAGGCCAGGGGUCCCAUGGGCAUGCAUAAGAGGGCUCACAUUGUCAAAAUGCUGGACAGAGAGCGUUGAGGUCUAGAUGGAUAAAAGCCAAGGGCCGACCACCAACAGAAGCUGAUAUUGACCGGCUCUACUCCAAAUUCGUUCCGAAGAAUAUCGAGGCUCUGGAAAAGCACUCCGAACUCAUUGA
Macrobrachium nipponense is the source of this 430-nucleotide long non-coding RNA. RefSeq lists it as uncharacterized. The transcript has 3 exons. Lineage: Eukaryota; Metazoa; Arthropoda; Malacostraca; Decapoda; Palaemonidae. The record is from RefSeq and is a predicted model, not a curated record.